GGGCGUAAGAGCUCGUAGGCGGUUUGUCGCGUCUGCUGUGAAAUCUGGGGGCUCAACCGCCAGCCUGCAGUGGGUACGGGCAGACUAGAGUGCGGUAGGGGAGAUUGGAAUUCCUGGUGUAGCGGUGGAAUGCGCAGAUAUCAGGAGGAACACCGAUGGCGAAGGCAGAUCUCUGGGCCGUAACUGACGCUGAGGAGCGAAAGCAUGGGGAGCGAACAGGAUUAGAUACCCUGGUAGUCCAUGCCGUAAACGUUGGGAACUAGAUGUGGGGGCCAUUCCACGGUCUCCGUGUCGCAGCUAACGCAUUAAGUUCCCCGCCUGGGGAGUACGGCCGCAAGGCUAAAACUCAAAGGAAUUGACGGGGGCCCGCACAAGCGGCGGAGCAUGCGGAUUAAUUCGAUGCAACGCGAAGAACCUUACCAAGGCUUGACAUAUACCGGAAACGUCCAGAGAUGGUCGCCCCGCAAGGUCGGUAUACAGGUGGUGCAUGGUUGUCGUCAGCUCGUGUCGUGAGAUGUUGGGUUAAGUCCCGCAACGAGCGCAACCCUCGUUCUAUGUUGCCAGCACGUAAUGGUGGGAACUCAUAGGAGACUGCCGGGGUCAACUCGGAGGAAGGUGGGGAUGACGUCAAAUCAUCAUGCCCCUUAUGUCUUGGGCUUCACGCAUGCUACAAUGGCCGGUACAAAGGGCUGCGAUACCGUAAGGUGGAGCGAAUCCCAAAAAGCCGGUCUCAGUUCGGAUUGAGGUCUGCAACUCGACCUCAU
RNAcentral lists this ribosomal RNA (764 nucleotides) under Frigoribacterium sp. Its description in RNAcentral is "bacterial SSU rRNA". It matches the Rfam family "Bacterial small subunit ribosomal RNA", at positions 556 to 1321 of the family's 1533-position model. The record is from RNAcentral. Lineage: Bacteria; Bacillati; Actinomycetota; Actinomycetes; Micrococcales; Microbacteriaceae.